UUGGGCGUAAGAGCUCGUAGGCGGUUUGUCGCGUCUGUCGUGAAAGUCCGGGGCUUAACCCCGGAUCUGCGGUGGGUACGGGCAGACUAGAGUGCAGUAGGGGAGACUGGAAUUCCUGGUGUAGCGGUGGAAUGCGCAGAUAUCAGGAGGAACACCGAUGGCGAAGGCAGGUCUCUGGGCUGUAACUGACGCUGAGGAGCGAAAGCAUGGGGAGCGAACAGGAUUAGAUACCCUGGUAGUCCAUGCCGUAAACGUUGGGCACUAGGUGUGGGGACCAUUCCACGGUUUCCGCGCCGCAGCUAACGCAUUAAGUGCCCCGCCUGGGGAGUACGGCCGCAAGGCUAAAACUCAAAGGAAUUGACGGGGGCCCGCACAAGCGGCGGAGCAUGCGGAUUAAUUCGAUGCAACGCGAAGAACCUUACCAAGGCUUGACAUGUUCUCGAUCGCCGUAGAGAUACGGUUUCCCCUUUGGGGCGGGUUCACAGGUGGUGCAUGGUUGUCGUCAGCUCGUGUCGUGAGAUGUUGGGUUAAGUCCCGCAACGAGCGCAACCCUCGUUCCAUGUUGCCAGCACGUAAUGGUGGGGACUCAUGGGAGACUGCCGGGGUCAACUCGGAGGAAGGUGAGGACGACGUCAAAUCAUCAUGCCCCUUAUGUCUUGGGCUUCACGCAUGCUACAAUGGCCGGUACAAUGGGUUGCGAUACUGUGAGGUGGAGCUAAUCCCAAAAAGCCGGUCUCAGUUCGGAUUGGGGUCUGCAACUCGACCCCAUGAAGUCGGAGUCGCUAGUAAUCGCAGAUCAGCAACGCUGCGGUGAAUACGUUCCCGGGCCUUGUACACACCGCCCGUCAAGUCACGAAAGUUGGUAACACCCGAAGCCGGUGGCCUAACCCUUGUGGGGGGAGCCG
RNAcentral lists this ribosomal RNA (905 nucleotides) under Micrococcus sp. Dp-YL. RNAcentral's name for it is "bacterial SSU rRNA". It matches the Rfam family "Bacterial small subunit ribosomal RNA", at positions 554 to 1455 of the family's 1533-position model. Lineage: Bacteria; Bacillati; Actinomycetota; Actinomycetes; Micrococcales; Micrococcaceae. The record is from RNAcentral.